Molecule: ribosomal RNA, 932 nt
Filed under: uncultured bacterium
Lineage: Bacteria
Description: bacterial SSU rRNA
Rfam family: Bacterial small subunit ribosomal RNA
Source: RNAcentral
AGAGUUUGAUCAUGGCUCAGAAUGAACGCUGGCGGCGUGCUUAACACAUGCAAGUCGAGCGAGGCGGAAGGGGGCAACUCCUUCCAGUCGAGCGGCGGACGGGUGAGUAACACGUGGGUAACCUGCCCGGAAGUGGGGAAUACCUCGGAGAAAUUCGAGCUAAUACCGCAUGACAUCUUCGGGACGAAAGUCCUGGCGAUCAAAGCGGGGUCGCAAGAUCUCGCGCUACCGGAUGGGCCCGCGCCCGAUUAGCUAGUUGGUGAGGUAACGGCUCACCAAGGCUUCGAUCGGUAACCGGCCUGAGAGGGCGAUCGGUCACACCGGAACUGAGACACGGUCCGGACUCCUACGGGAGGCAGCAGUGGGGAAUCUUGCGCAAUGGGCGAAAGCCUGACGCAGCAACGCCGCGUGGAGGAUGAAGGCCCUUGGGUUGUAAACUCCUGUCGGCUGGGAAGAAAUCGUUCGUGGCUCAUACCCACGGACGUUGACUGUACCAGCAAAGGAAGCCCCGGCUAACUCUGUGCCAGCAGCCGCGGUAAUACAGAGGGGGCUAGCGUUAUUCGGAAUUAUUGGGCGUAAAGGGCGCGUAGGCGGCCAUGCGUGUCUUCCGUGAAAUCCCUCGGCUUAACUGAGGACGUGCGGAAGAAACUGCAAGGCUCGAGUCCGGGAGAGGGGGGUGGAAUUCCCAGUGUAGCGGUGAAAUGCGUAGAUAUUGGGAGGAACACCGGUGGCGAAGGCGGCCCCCUGGACCGGUACUGACGCUGAGGCGCGAAAGCGUGGGUAGCAAACGGGAUUAGAUACCCCGGUAGUCCACGCCGUAAACGAUGGGCACUUGGUGUCGCGGGUAUCGACCCCUGCGGUGCCGAAGCUAACGCAUUAAGUGCCCCGCCUGGGGAGUACGGUCGCAAGGCUGAACUCAAAGGAAUUGACGG